CUUACAGAUGUUCCCAGCCGUCAGGAUCAGUGUGGGCUAUGACACUGACACAGUGAGAAGAUGGCUAUCUUUGAAGUAUGAAGGAGGCCCUCACCUAACACUAAAUGGGAUCGUGGCUUGAACUUCUGAGCCUCCAGAACUAGUCAUCACUGUUCAGUGGAACAUCCUUUCAGAUGCAUGAAGAUGCCAAACUAGAGGAAAGAGGACACAACAAUGUGAUGUCCCAAGGGUCAACAUUUCCCAAGGGAUAGUUCUGACUGAGGAGACAUAAAAAUAGUCUACAACCAACAGAUAUUCCUGUCCCAAUAAUCUUUUUAUAGUAUACUAUAGCUGUAUUCAAUAUAAAACAAGUAGAGUGAGAACUGAAUGUGAAUUACAAAGCAGAUUUUAUUCAUGAUACAUGAGUUAAUAAACAUGAGUUAAACUCAUGAUACAUGAAUUAAAGAAAAGAAUGGAGCCCCUUUUCAUAUUUUAUUGCCAAAAAAUUUACCAAGUAGAUGAUUUAUUUGGAAAGAUAGCACAUUUUUGAAAUUAACUCUUGAUUUGUAAAAGUUCAGAUGGUUCCUAUCUACUUGGUCAACUAAAAGUGAUUGUUUUUACUGCUAUAACCCAAGCAUGUCAGUCUUUGAGAAACAUGCCAUUAAUCAUGAUUAAAUUGUAUAGGCUCAAAAAUCUCUAA
Molecule: long non-coding RNA, 679 nt
Organism: Suricata suricatta (meerkat)
Lineage: Eukaryota; Metazoa; Chordata; Mammalia; Carnivora; Herpestidae
Exons: 3
Source: RefSeq, a predicted model, not a curated record